RNAcentral lists this ribosomal RNA (582 nucleotides) under uncultured bacterium. RNAcentral describes it as "partial 16S ribosomal RNA". It matches the Rfam family "Bacterial small subunit ribosomal RNA", at positions 355 to 926 of the family's 1533-position model. The record is from RNAcentral.
UGGGGAAUAUUGCACAAUGGGCGCAAGCCUGAUGCAGCCAUGCCGCGUGUGUGAAGAAGGCCUUCGGGUUGUAAAGCACUUUCAGCGAGGAGGAAGGUGGUGAGCUUAAUACGCUCAUCAAUUGACGUUACUCGCAGAAGAAGCACCGGCUAACUCCGUGCCAGCAGCCGCGGUAAUACGGAGGGUGCAAGCGUUAAUCGGAAUUACUGGGCGUAAAGCGCACGCAGGCGGUUUGUUAAGUCAGAUGUGAAAUCCCCGGGCUCAACCUGGGAACUGCAUUUGAAACUGGCAAGCUAGAGUCUCGUAGAGGGGGGUAGAAUUCCAGGUGUAGCGGUGAAAUGCGUAGAGAUCUGGAGGAAUACCGGUGGCGAAGGCGGCCCCCUGGACGAAGACUGACGCUCAGGUGCGAAAGCGUGGGGAGCAAACAGGAUUAGAUACCCCUGGUAGUCCAGCGCUGUAAACGGUGUCGAUUUUGGAGGUUGUGCCCUUGAGGCGUGGCUUCCGGAGCUAACGCGUUAAAUCGACCGCCUGGGGAGUACGGCCGCAAGGUUAAAACUCAAAGGAAUUGACGGGGUCUAGCUG